RNAcentral lists this ribosomal RNA (821 nucleotides) under Bacteriophage sp. RNAcentral's name for it is "bacterial SSU rRNA". It matches the Rfam family "Bacterial small subunit ribosomal RNA", at positions 419 to 1233 of the family's 1533-position model. The record is from RNAcentral.
CGGAUCGUAAAACUCUGUUGUUAGAGAAGAACGUUGAUUAGAGUGGAAAAUUAAUCAAGUGACGGUAUCUAACCAGAAAGGGACGGCUAACUACGUGCCAGCAGCCGCGGUAAUACGUAGGUCCCGAGCGUUGUCCGGAUUUAUUGGGCGUAAAGCGAGCGCAGGUGGUUUAAUAAGUCUGAUGUAAAAGGCAGUGGCUCAACCAUUGUGUGCAUUGGAAACUGUUAGACUUGAGUGCAGUAGAGGAGAGUGGAAUUCCAUGUGUAGCGGUGAAAUGCGUAGAUAUAUGGAGGAACACCGGUGGCGAAAGCGGCUCUCUGGACUGUCACUGACACUGAGGCUCGAAAGCGUGGGUAGCAAACAGGAUUAGAUACCCUGGUAGUCCACGCCGUAAACGAUGAGUGCUAGUUGUUUGGGGCUAUCCAGCCCUAAGUGACGCAGCAAACGCAUUAAGCACUCCGCCUGGGGAGUACGACCGCAAGGUUGAAACUCAAAGGAAUUGACGGGGGCCCGCACAAGCGGUGGAGCAUGUGGUUUAAUUCGAAGCAACGCGAAGAACCUUACCAGGUCUUGACAUACUCGUGCUAUUCCUAGAGAUAGGAAGUUCCUUCGGGACACGGGAUACAGGUGGUGCAUGGUUGUCGUCAGCUCGUGUCGUGAGAUGUUGGGUUAAGUCCCGCAACGAGCGCAACCCCUAUUGUUAGUUGCCAUCAUUAAGUUGGGCACUCUAACGAGACUGCCGGUGAUAAACCGGAGGAAGGUGGGGAUGACGUCAAAUCAUCAUGCCCCUUAUGACCUGGGCUACACACGUGCUACAAUGG